GGUGAACGCUGGCGGCGUGCCUAAUACAUGCAAGUCGAGCGAACAGACGAGGAGCUUGCGCUCCUGACGUUAGCGGCGGACGGGUGAGUAACACGUGGAUAACCAACUUAUAAGUCUUGGAUAACUACGUGAAACAGGUGCCAAUAAUGGCUCAUAUAAUGUACCGCAUGGUUCAAUAGUGAAUGAUGGUUUUGCUGAUACUUUUAGCCGGAUCCGCGUCGCAUUAGCUAGUUGGUAAGGUAACGGCCUACCAAGGCAACGAUGCGUAGCUGACCUGAGAGGAUGAUCAGCCACACUGGAACUGAGACACGGUCCAGACUCCUACGGGAGGCAGCAGUGGGGAAUCUUCGGCAAUGGGCGAAAGCCUGACGGAGCAACGCCGCGUGAGUGAAGAAGGUCUUCGGGUCGUAAAGCUCUUUUGUUGGGGAAGAACAACUGUAUAAAAAUCUAGGCACGUCUUGACGGUACCUAAUCAGAAAGCCACGGCUAACUUCGUG
RNAcentral lists this ribosomal RNA (497 nucleotides) under uncultured bacterium. RNAcentral describes it as "partial 16S ribosomal RNA". It matches the Rfam family "Bacterial small subunit ribosomal RNA", at positions 28 to 507 of the family's 1533-position model. The record is from RNAcentral.